AGAGUUUGAUCCUGGCUCAGGAUGAACGCUGGCGGCGUGCUUAACACAUGCAAGUCGAACGAACCUUCGGGUUAGUGGCGGACGGGUGAGUAACGCGUGGGAAUCUGCCCUCAGGAGGGGGAUAACGGUUGGAAACGGCCGCUAAUACCCCAUAUGCCGAGAGGUGAAAUGAAUUUCGCCUGAGGAUGAGCCCGCGUCUGAUUAGCUAGUUGGUGAGGUAAGAGCUCACCAAGGCAUCGAUCAGUAGCUGGUCUGAGAGGAUGAUCAGCCACACUGGGACUGAGACACGGCCCAGACUCCUACGGGAGGCAGCAGUGGGGAAUUUUCCGCAAUGGGCGAAAGCCUGACGGAGCAACGCCGCGUGAGGGAUGAAGGCCUCUGGGCUGUAAACCUCUUUUCUCAAGGAAGAAGAUCUGACGGUACUUGAGGAAUAAGCCACGGCUAAUUCCGUGCCAGCAGCCGCGGUAAUACGGGAGUGGCAAGCGUUAUCCGGAAUUAUUGGGCGUAAAGCGUCCGCAGGCGGCCCUUCAAGUCUGCUGUUAAAACGUGGAGCUUAACUCCAUCAUGGCAGUGGAAACUGUUGGGCUUGAGUGUGGUAGGGGCAGAGGGAAUUCCCGGUGUAGCGGUGAAAUGCGUAGAUAUCGGGAAGAACACCAGUGGCGAAGGCGCUCUGCUGGGCCAUCACUGACGCUCAUGGACGAAAGCCAGGGGAGCGAAAGGGAUUAGAUACCCCUGUAGUCCUGGCCGUAAACGAUGAACACUAGGUGUCGGGGGAAUCGACCCCUCCGGUGUCGUAGCCAACGCGUUAAGUGUUCCGCCUGGGGAGUACGCACGCAAGUGUGAAACUCAAAGGAAUUGACGGGGGCCCGCACAAGCGGUGGAGUAUGUGGUUUAAUUCGAUGCAACGCGAAGAACCUUACCAGGGUUUGACAUCCUGCGAAUCUCUUGGAAACGAGAGAGUGCCUUCGGGAACGCAGUGACAGGUGGUGCAUGGCUGUCGUCAGCUCGUGUCGUGAGAUGUUGGGUUAAGUCCCGCAACGAGCGCAACCCACGUCUUUAGUUGCCAGCAUUUAGUUGGGCACUCUAGAGAGACCGCCGGUGAUAAACCGGAGGAAGGUGUGGAUGACGUCAAGUCAUCAUGCCCCUUACAUCCUGGGCUACACACGUACUACAAUGCUACGGACAAAGAGCAGCAAGUUCGCGAGGACAAGCAAAUCUCAUAAACCGUGGCUCAGUUCAGAUCGUAGGCUGCAACUCGCCUACGUGAAGGAGGAAUCGCUAGUAAUCGCAGGUCAGCAUACUGCGGUGAAUACGUUCCCGGGCCUUGUACACACCGCCCGUCACACCAUGGAAGUUGGCCACGCCCGAAGCCGUUACUCCAACCCUUGUGGAGGAGGACGUCGAAGGUGGGGCUGAUGACUGGGGUGAAGUCGUAACAAGGUAGCCGUACCGGAAGGUGCGGCUGGAUCACCUCCUAA
RNAcentral lists this ribosomal RNA (1478 nucleotides) under Synechococcus sp. NOUM97013. Its description in RNAcentral is "bacterial SSU rRNA". It matches the Rfam family "Bacterial small subunit ribosomal RNA". Lineage: Bacteria; Bacillati; Cyanobacteriota; Cyanophyceae; Synechococcales; Synechococcaceae. The record is from RNAcentral.